RNAcentral lists this ribosomal RNA (492 nucleotides) under uncultured bacterium. Its description in RNAcentral is "partial 16S ribosomal RNA". It matches the Rfam family "Bacterial small subunit ribosomal RNA", at positions 29 to 507 of the family's 1533-position model. The record is from RNAcentral.
AGUGAACGCUGGCGGCAUGCCUAAUACAUGCAAGUCGAACGGCCACACAGUAAGAUCUUGCCCCUACGGGUGGCGAGUGGCGGACGGGUGAGGCAUAGAUCGGAUACUUCUUUUUCUUGGGGGAUUACGUAGGGCCACUUACGCUACUACCGCAUAUGUCCUACGGGUGAAUGCAGUAGAUCUUCGGACCUUUCGUGUUUGAUUUAGCUGAUGCCGCAUUAGCUAGUUGGCAUGGUAAGGGCACACCAAGGCGACGAUCCGUAGCGGGUCUGAGAGGAUGAUCAGCCACACUGGAACUGAGACACGGUCCAGACUCCUACGGGAGGCAGCAGUGGGGAAUAUUGGACAAUGGGCGAAAGCUUGACGGAGCAACGCCGCGUGGGUGAAGAAGGUCUUCGGGUCGUAAAGCUCUGUUGUUGGGGAAGAAAAGCAGCAUAUGUAUCCAUGGAUGUCCUGACGGUACCUAAACAGAAAGCACCGGCUAACUUCGUG